Molecule: long non-coding RNA, 471 nt
Organism: Bos taurus (domestic cattle)
Lineage: Eukaryota; Metazoa; Chordata; Mammalia; Artiodactyla; Bovidae
Source: Ensembl
GUGUCUGAGUGCAGACGACAUUAGUGGUUGAGCUACAGCUGGAAUGCGGGCUUCCCGUCUCCUUCCCUGAUGUGUUUAUACUAGACUAUAGGAUGGUCUUUGGGGCUCCAACUCUAAGAGCUGCAGAUUGCUGGGAUUUUGAGACAUUUCAGCUCGGGUGUGCUACAGCAUUUAGAGGAUUGUAUGAGUUUGAGUAAGCUACAGGAGUUGGUGAUGGACAGGGAAGCCUGGCAUGUUGCAGUCCAUGGGGUCGAAAAGAGUCGGAUGCGAUUGAGUGGCUGAACUGAUGAUCGGGCACUAACCAGCUACCAGGUGUCAUCUUUGAGCAGCAUUUCCUGGAAAGCCAAGACUAAGGGAUGCGUGUGAAGAUCAAGUUCCCAGGACCAGAUGGGACCUGGGAAGCACUGCAAACCUUCUCCCCCUCCCCUUCUAGAAACUCCCAGUUCACAUCAGCAUAAUAAAGGUCUAGCC